This 497-nucleotide ribosomal RNA is filed under the name uncultured bacterium. Its description in RNAcentral is "partial 16S ribosomal RNA". It matches the Rfam family "Bacterial small subunit ribosomal RNA", at positions 28 to 507 of the family's 1533-position model. The record is from RNAcentral.
GAUGAACGCUGGCGGCGUGCCUAAUACAUGCAAGUCGAGCGAACAGACGAGGAGCUUGCUCCUUCGACGUUAGCGGCGGACGGGUGAGUAACACGUAGGUAACCUACCUAUAAGACUGGGAUAACUUCGGGAAACCGGCGCUAAUACCGGAUAAUAUUUCGAACCGCAUGGUUCGAUAGUGAAAGAUGGCUUUGCUAUCACUUAUAGAUGGACCUGCGCCGUAUUAGCUAGUUGGUAAGGUAACGGCCUACCAAGGCAACGAUACGUAGCCGACCUGAGAGGGUGAUCGGCCACACUGGAACUGAGACACGGUCCAGACACCUACGGGAGGCAGCAGUAGGGAAUCUUCCGCAAUGGGCGAAAGCCUGACGGAGCAACGCCGCGUGAGUGAUGAAGGUCUUCGGAUCGUAAAACUCUGUUAUUAGGGAAGAACAAACGUGUAAGUAACUGUGCACGUCUUGACGGUACCUAAUCAGAAAGCCACGGCUAACUACGUG